Molecule: ribosomal RNA, 258 nt
Filed under: uncultured bacterium
Lineage: Bacteria
Description: partial 16S ribosomal RNA
Rfam family: Bacterial small subunit ribosomal RNA
Source: RNAcentral
GUCCACGCCGUAACGAUGUCGACUAGCCGUUGGGCCCUUUAGGGUUAGUGGCGCAGCUAACGCAUUAAGUCGACCGCCUGGGGAGUACGGCCGCAAGGUUAAACUCAAAUGAAUUGACGGGGCCCGCACAAGCGGUGGAGCAUGUGGUUUAAUUCGAUGCAACGCGAAGAACCUUACCUACCCUUGACAUCCAGAGAAUCUGUUAGAGAUAGUAGAGUGCCUUCGGGAGCUCUGAGACAGGUGCUGCAUGGCUGUCGU